RNAcentral lists this ribosomal RNA (376 nucleotides) under uncultured bacterium. RNAcentral's name for it is "bacterial SSU rRNA". It matches the Rfam family "Bacterial small subunit ribosomal RNA", at positions 30 to 403 of the family's 1533-position model. The record is from RNAcentral.
AUUGAACGCUGGCGGCAUGCUUUACACAUGCAAGUCGAACGGCAGCGCGGGGGCAACCCUGGCGGCGAGUGGCGAACGGGUGAGUAAUGCAUCGGAACGUAUCCUGUAAUGGGGGGAUAACGUAGCGAAAGUUACGCUAAUACCGCAUACGCUCGAGAGAGGAAAGUAGGGGAUCGCAAGACCUCACGUUAUAGGAGCGGCCGAGUGUCCGAUUAGCUAGUUGGUGGGGUAAAAGGCCUACCAAGGCGACGAUCGGUAGCUGGUCUGAGAGGAUGAUCAGCCACACUGGGACUGAGACACGGCCCAGACUCCUACGGGAGGCAGCAGUGGGGAAUUUUGGACAAUGGGCGAAAGCCUGAUCCAGCCAUGCCGCGUG